This 490-nucleotide ribosomal RNA is filed under the name uncultured bacterium. RNAcentral describes it as "partial 16S ribosomal RNA". It matches the Rfam family "Bacterial small subunit ribosomal RNA", at positions 28 to 507 of the family's 1533-position model. The record is from RNAcentral.
GAUGAACGCUAGCGACAGGCUUAACACAUGCAAGUCGAGGGGCAGCAUGGUCUUAGCUUGCUAAGGCCGAUGGCGACCGGCGCACGGGUGAGUAACACGUAACCAACCUGCCGUCUACUCUUUGACAGCCUUCUGAAAGGAAGAUUAAUACAAGAUGGCAUCAUGAGUCCGCAUGUUCACAUGAUUAAAGGUAUUCCGGUAGACGAUGGGGAUGCGUUCCAUUAGAUAGUAGGCGGGGUAACGGCCCACCUAGCGUUCGAUGGAUAGGGGUUCUGAGAGGAAGGUCCCCCACAUUGGAACUGCGACCCGGUCCACACUCCUACGGGAGGCAGCAGUGAGGAAUACUGGUCAAUGAGCGCGAGCCUGAACCAGCCAAGUAGCGUGAAGGACGACUGCCCUAUGGGUUGUAAACUUCUUUUAUAAAGGAAUCAAGUCGGGUAUGGAUCCCAGUUUGCAUGUACUUUAUGAAUAAGGAUCGGCUAACUCCGUG